Biomphalaria pfeifferi is the source of this 595-nucleotide non-coding RNA. The record is from the annotation of a GenBank genome assembly. Lineage: Eukaryota; Metazoa; Mollusca; Gastropoda; Planorbidae.
CACAAAAUAGUUGCAGUUAUUUAAUAUUUUUAAUUUAAUUUUUAUUUGCAGGCAGCUUCAGAAUGAAACAGCAGGAAGUCACUUACAAAGUUUGCGGGAUACACAUUUAAGACCAAGAGAAAAUCCGCUGCAGAGGACAGAUGUAGACAGUAAAAAGAAAAUCUAAAUCGACCACCAGUGGACAAUGGUUAUGCCUGUGCUGGAUGGGGAAAAAUAUGCUGUAGCAGCUGGGGCUGCAUAGCCAUGGGAAAUACUGCAUUCCUCUUUAAUCUUUAGACUCGAAGACAAGCCUUAUUAAUUUUACUCUAGAGAGUAUCAUGACAAUAACAUUUGAAUAGUGGAAAUAAUUAACAGAGUAUUUCUUUUAAAAGGUAAACAUUGUGACAUCCUUCAGCUAUAUAAUCAAUCCGAAUUACAAUAAAAACUUUUUUUUAUAAUUUGGUUACCAAACUCAAAUAUUUUAUAGCUAAUUUGUAUUGUUUAUAUGUUUAAAUUUUAUAUCUGAAAUAAUGCUUGUUAACUAAUUAAAAUUUACAAAAGUGAUUAAAUUUCAAUAUGUGUAACUUUUAUUAUAUAAUUUGCACUAAAAAAAAAA